GUGCACCAGUCGAGAAACCUCCGCAAUACACGAAAGUGUGACGGGGCCAUCCCGAGUGCCGUCCGCUGAGGACGGCUUUUCCCCAGUGUACAUAGCUGGGGGAAUAAGGAGAGGGCAAGCCUGGUGUCAGCCGCCGCGGUAAUACCGAGCUCUCCGAGUGGUGGGGACGCUUAUUGGGCCUAAAGCAUCCGUAGCCGGCUGGGCAAGUCCUCCGUUAAAUCCAACGAUUCAAUCGUUGGGCUGCGGGGGAUACUGGUCCAGCUUGGGGGCGGGAGAGGCCGACGGUAUUCCCGGGGUAGGGGUGAAAUCCUAUAAUCCCGGGAGGACCACCAGUGGCGAGGGCUGUCGGCUAGAACGCGCCCGACGGUGAGGGAUGAAAGCU
This 382-nucleotide ribosomal RNA is filed under the name uncultured microorganism. RNAcentral describes it as "bacterial SSU rRNA". It matches the Rfam family "Archaeal small subunit ribosomal RNA", at positions 330 to 712 of the family's 1478-position model. The record is from RNAcentral.